UGGCAACUGAGGGCAUGUAAUUUUUUGUGUCCUUCCCUUUAUGAUUGAAAGAGAUGGGUGUUUGAGAUGCUAUUCGCCAGAAUGAAAACAUUAGACACCCUCUCGUUCUCUUUCUGCUCCUCUCACAAUGCAGGCCCAUUCAGAACACAAUUGUGAUACUCCUGGACAGGACGUGAAAAAGAUAAAUUGGCAAAAUCAGAAAGAUGCAUUGCCCCCCAGAAUGCUCGAUGAGGACGACUUUUGCAGGACUUCUGGUUUUUCGGGAGAUGAGGAUCACAGUAGUGGAAGUUUACACGUUCACUACUCUCAUUAUCAGUUUAAAAAAAAAGAAGAAGAAGAAAAAUAGGGGAAAAAUGUGUUUAUAAGGAGGAAAAUAGAUUUCUGCAGCUCGCUGGCCAGAACCACUUUCUCUGUCUGUCCACUUAAUUGGGAGGACUCGGCACGCAUUUCUCCUCAUCCCUGUAUUUUGUUCGCUUGGAGAAGGCUUCGCUGCAGUUUCAAGACUUUGCGUGCUCCUCUCCAUUUGAUUUCAACAGCAAGAGAGCCACCAUGAUGGGUACCCUUCAGAUGUGGAAAGUGUUCAAGGGAGUUUGGUGGCUGCAAAUAGAGCUGGGAGUCCAUUUAAUCCGAUUAGCAGUUCCGCAAAAUGGGCCUCGACCCAUUGUGGACAGAAGCCUUUACUUUAUUUGUUUCCAUUAGCCAAGAAUCAGUUAUCAGAAAAGUGGAAUUUUGCCCCAUCAGAUUGCCCAGACAAUCAACAGAAAAUAAAUGAGGAAAUAGUCUAAUGUGUCAAUAUUUGUCUUUUGGCCCUAAUUGUCCACAGAGGGGACUUGCUGAGUGUGUGAAGUUGGCAGCCUGGGUUUAUCUGUGUACUCUUGAUGGUUUUUCCCACUGUGUAGGCACCGGAGCCGCUACGUGCACAGUAAUGACAUCUCAAAGGCCAACAGCACUGGCUGGAGAAUAAAGGCGUUUUAAAGGUCUAAGAACACUGGAUUGAAGAGCCAAGGAGAACCCUUGAUGGAUGAGGAGGAAGGCAGAGCCCAGCAAAUGACAAGGCAUUUGUGACCAGGUUUCCAAUGCCGGAGUGAGGUAGAACAAAAGUACUGAAGAGACAGGAGCUUCCGUUCCUGCCCCGGUGCCAGCUUGUCUUUCCCGUUUCCCAGGAAGCUCAGCUGACUACAAGCCUACGGGGGUACGGCCCUCCUCUUAUUUCUGUUGCCUCUUGUUAGUUGAGAAAUGUUAGUGUCUCAAAUUGUUUUAGUCCCUCAAAUUGCCUUUAAGGAUAAUGGUAAUAAAAUGAUUUAAGCUACAA
This 1312-nucleotide long non-coding RNA is filed under the name Homo sapiens (human). RNAcentral describes it as "HSALNT0399910". Lineage: Eukaryota; Metazoa; Chordata; Mammalia; Primates; Hominidae. The record is from RNAcentral.